GACGAACGCUGGCGGCGUGCUUAACACAUGCAAGUCGAACGGAAAGGCCCUGCUUGCAGGGUACUCGAGUGGCGAACGGGUGAGUAACACGUGGGUGAUCUGCCCUGCACUUCGGGAUAAGCUUGGGAAACUGGGUCUAAUACCGGAUAGGAACCAUCUUUAGUGUGGUGGUUGGAAAGUUUUUUCGGUGUAGGAUGAGCUCGCGGCCUAUCAGCUUGUUGGUGGGGUAAUGGCCUACCAAGGCGGCGACGGGUAGCCGGCCUGAGAGGGUGUACGGCCACAUUGGGACUGGGAUACGGCCCGGACUCCUACGGGGGGCAGCGGGGGGAAUAUUGCACAAUGGGCGCAAGCCUGAUGCAGCGACGCCGCGUGGGGGAUGAAGGCCUUCGGGUUGUAAACUCCUUUCGCUAGGGACGAAGCUUUGUUGUGACGGUACCUAGAUAAGAAGCACCGGCUAACUACGUG
This 465-nucleotide ribosomal RNA is filed under the name uncultured bacterium. RNAcentral's name for it is "partial 16S ribosomal RNA". It matches the Rfam family "Bacterial small subunit ribosomal RNA", at positions 28 to 507 of the family's 1533-position model. The record is from RNAcentral.